UUCCUUGUCGGGUAAGUUCCGACCCGCACGAAAGGUGUAACGAUCUGGAUACUGUCUCAGAGAGAGACUCGGUGAAAUAAAAAUAUCUGUGAAGAUGCGGAUUACCUGUACGCGGACAGAAAGACCCUAUGAAGCUUUACUGUAACCUGGAAUUGCUCUCAAGCUUAUCUUGCGCAGCUUAGGUGGGAGACGUUGAAGUCCUUUCUCCGGAAAGGAUGGAGUCAUCAGUGAGAUACCACUCUUGGUAAGCUAGAGCGCUCAUUUCUAACCGUUAUCCGGUAGAAAGACAGUUUCAGGCGGGCAGUUUGACUGGGGCAGUCACCUCCCAAAAGGUAAUGGAGGUGUACAAAGGUUCUCUCAGGCUGGACGGAAAUCAGCCAUAGAGUGUAAAAGCAUAAGAGAGCUUGACUGCGAGACUGACAUGUCAAGCAGAGACGAAAGUCGGUUUUAGUGAUCCGACGGUGCUGAGUGGAAAGGCCGUCGCUCAACGGAUAAAAGUUACUCUAGGGAUAACAGGCUAAUCUCCCCCAAGAGUUCACAUCGACGGGGAGGUUUGGCACCUCGAUGUCGGCUUAUCGCAUCCUGGAGCGGAAGUACGUUCCAAGGGUUGGGCUGUUCGCCCAUAGAAAGCGGUACAUGAGCUGGGUUCAGAACGUCGUGAGACAGUUUGGUCCAUAUCCCGUAUAGGCGUUUAGAGCAUUGAGAGGAUCUCCCCUUUGUACGAGAGGACCAGGUGGGGACAAACCGCUAGUGUACCAGUUAUUCCGCCAGGGGUAAACGCUGGGUAGCUAUGUUUGGAGUAAAUAACUGCUGAAAGCAUAUAAGUAGGAAGUUCACCUUAAGAUGAGUGCUCUUUUGUCAAUGUCUAGUUUGACAGAAAAGACAAGGAAGGUCACGGUAAGACUAACCGUUUGAUAGGCGUGAUGUAGACGUCCAGUAAUGGAUUUUGAAGCUGACACGUCCUAAUAGACCGAGGGAUUUGAU
This 984-nucleotide ribosomal RNA is filed under the name Ostreococcus mediterraneus. RNAcentral's name for it is "partial Bacterial large subunit ribosomal RNA". It matches the Rfam family "Bacterial large subunit ribosomal RNA", at positions 1965 to 2925 of the family's 2925-position model. The record is from RNAcentral. Lineage: Eukaryota; Viridiplantae; Chlorophyta; Mamiellophyceae; Mamiellales; Bathycoccaceae.